AUACGUAGGGAGCGAGCGUUGUCCGGAAUUACUGGGUGUAAAGGGAGCGUAGGCGGGAGUGCAAGUCAGAUGUGAAAUACAUGGGCUCAACCCAUGGGCUGCAUUUGAAACUGCAUUUCUUGAGUGAAGUAGAGGUAAGCGGAAUUCCUGGUGUAGCGGUGAAAUGCGUAGAUAUCAGGAGGAACACCGGUGGCGAAGGCGGCUUACUGGGCUUUUACUGGCGCUGAGGCUCGAAAGCGUGGGGAGCAAACAGGAUUAGAUACCCUGGUAGUCCACGCUGUAAACGAUGAUUACUAGGUGUGGGGGGACUGACCCCUUCCGUGCCGCAGUUAACACAAUAAGUAAUCCACCUGGGGAGUACGGCCGCAAGGUUGAAACUCAAAUGAAUUGACGGGG
Molecule: ribosomal RNA, 396 nt
Filed under: uncultured bacterium
Lineage: Bacteria
Description: partial 16S ribosomal RNA
Rfam family: Bacterial small subunit ribosomal RNA
Source: RNAcentral